UCUCUGGGUUACUGUGGGUUUUCCAGUCUGUAUGGCCAUGUUCCAGAAGCAUACAGCCUGGAAAACUUGCAGCAACCCAGUGG
Molecule: microRNA precursor, 83 nt
Organism: Anolis carolinensis (green anole)
Lineage: Eukaryota; Metazoa; Chordata; Lepidosauria; Squamata; Anolidae
Source: Ensembl